RNAcentral lists this non-coding RNA (186 nucleotides) under Acidobacteriota bacterium. Its description in RNAcentral is "Acidobacteria bacterium 6S RNA". It matches the Rfam family "6S / SsrS RNA". From Rfam's summary of the family: E. coli 6S RNA was the first non coding RNA to be sequenced, but its function was unknown until recently. It consists of 184 nucleotides that fold into an extended hairpin structure with a large single-stranded internal bulge. The 6S RNA specifically associates with RNA polymerase holoenzyme containing the sigma70 specificity factor. Lineage: Bacteria; Pseudomonadati; Acidobacteriota. The record is from RNAcentral.
AAGGUCCUGCUUUGCUCGUGAUGGCCGGAGUGUCGCUUGGGCCGAUGUUUUCUAAUACCAAGCGAGCUGCGACGCUGCGCGGUGUGCAUGCCUCCGUGGUGAGGAAGCCUAAAGCGCGGCUUACAUAGCGGUUCCACCUGUCCAACAGGUCCGUUCGACCUCCCCACACGGCAAAGCGGGGAUAAU